GUGUUGUAUGAAAAGAGAGAAUGUUAGAACUCCCUUUGAUAAGGAUAGAAGAGGUCCUAGUGGCCUUUACAACACACAUACGGUUAAGACAUUGCCACCUACUCUGUGGCAUCUAACCAUGCUUUUUU
This is a small nuclear RNA of Monodelphis domestica (gray short-tailed opossum), 128 nucleotides long. The record is from Ensembl. Lineage: Eukaryota; Metazoa; Chordata; Mammalia; Didelphimorphia; Didelphidae.